CCAGAAAUGGUUGCCCCGCAAGGUCGGUAUACAGGUGGUGCAUGGUUGUCGUCAGCUCGUGUCGUGAGAUGUUGGGUUAAGUCCCGCAACGAGCGCAACCCUCGUUCUAUGUUGCCAGCACGUCAUGGUGGGAACUCAUAGGAGACUGCCGGGGUCAACUCGGAGGAAGGUGGGGAUGACGUCAAAUCAUCAUGCCCCUUAUGUCUUGGGCUUCACGCAUGCUACAAUGGCCGGUACAAAGGGCUGCGAUACCGUAAGGUGGAGCGAAUCCCAAAAAGCCGGUCUCAGUUCGGAUUGAGGUCUGCAACUCGACCUCAUGAAGUCGGAGUCGCUAGUAAUCGCAGAUCAGCAACGCUGCGGUGAAUACGUUCCCGGGCCUUGUACACACCGCCCGUCAAGUCAUGAAAGUCGGUAACACCCGAAGCCAGUGGCCUAACCGCAAGGAGGGAGCUGUCGAAGGUGGGAUCGGUGAUUAGGACUAAGUCGUAACAAGGUAGCCGUACCGGAAGGUGCGGCUGGAUCACCUCCUUUCUAAGGA
RNAcentral lists this ribosomal RNA (538 nucleotides) under Rathayibacter sp. AY1E4. RNAcentral describes it as "bacterial SSU rRNA". It matches the Rfam family "Bacterial small subunit ribosomal RNA", at positions 1000 to 1533 of the family's 1533-position model. Lineage: Bacteria; Bacillati; Actinomycetota; Actinomycetes; Micrococcales; Microbacteriaceae. The record is from RNAcentral.